UCCUGAGUCCUUCGGAAGGGUGGAACAAACGUCCAAACAGAUAAACCGCAAGCAGGGGCUUCCUUUCUCUCGCACCCUUUUCUGCCCGUAUCUCUCUCCUUCUGUCUCUCCACUUCCUAGCUCUUAACAGAUACAGUGACCUUAAGGACAAUGAAAAGGUUUGCUCAUCCUGGGACGCUGACCCAUCAUUCCCCAUCUGCUGACUAGCACAGAGGCAGGAGACCAUGGACCCUUGGGGAACCCAUGGAAGAUGAUGGGGAAUUUGAGGCUGUUAGCAUCAGAGCACGGGUCCCAGAAGCCCUAACAAGCUAAGCUCAUUACCUCUCUUCAAUCGGCCACUUAAACAGAUAAUAGUGAAAAGCAGAGGAAGGAAGAGGAGCAAAGAGGGCCUCAUGUUCCCCUGAGGUCCACAUCUGGGAGCCCGACGUGAAGCUGGGUUGAAGAAGAGGGCAAAGCUGAAUUUCCCAUCCCAGCUCUUGGGUUUUCAUGAAAGGAAGCCAAGCACAUGGAAAGCUCCAGGCAGCCCAGCGGGAGAAGAGGCUCCCGUGGCCUUGGUGACUUCAUUGUUUCAUUGUGGACAGAAGUGGUCAGUGUUCGGCUGUCACAUGGGGCAGUGUCACAUCUUCAGCUGAUGCACGGGAAAGCAUAGGCCUUUAGCUGCCAAACCCAGAAGACCUGAGAAAUUUUUCCUGUGGAGGAGAAACCUGAGAAAACUGGUGGUGAUGUCCAUGUGCUGAGUUAUACAGCCUGAAUGGGAGUCUGUCUACCUCCUAGUCUCCCAGAGAGAGGUGACAUUCCGCCAGGAGUUCGAUUCUGAAGCUGCUGAAUUUGAACUGCUUCCGUCACAUCCAGGUGAAGAUACCCAGCAGGCCGCUCCAUACACAGAGCUUGCUGCCUGGCUGGGAAUACGAGAGGAAGACAGGUGUUGUCACACCAAAUGCCAGAAUCCUAAGAUUGGAUCCUGGAGAGAGGAGCCUGGAGCUGGUGUCCUAAAGAGGGCUAUUGGCCGGACGUCUGAGUACUCUGGUCAGUCAGAGAUUACUGUGACCAUCUGGACUACGGUUUUAUGAGUGAGAAACCCAGAACAUUCCUGUCAGAAUCUUCUAUACAUUAUAUGAAUUUAUGAAUAAAUGAACAUACGAGUAGAUAUUUUCUUACAUCUUGUAAAGAAUAUUCACUGCCAUCCAUCUUUGAACUUCUAUUUCCCAGAAAGUGUCAGCCUUCAGUAAGCAGUUGACCGGUGCUAUGGGGUUUUGUAAAUAGUGACAUUAGU
Peromyscus leucopus (white-footed mouse) is the source of this 1273-nucleotide long non-coding RNA. RefSeq lists it as uncharacterized. Lineage: Eukaryota; Metazoa; Chordata; Mammalia; Rodentia; Cricetidae. The transcript is spliced from 5 exons. The record is from RefSeq and is a predicted model, not a curated record.